GUGGGGAAUCUUGCGCAAUGGGCGAAACCCUGAUCCAGCAAUGCCGCGUGGGUGAAGAAGGCCUGCGGGUUGUAAAGCCCUUUCGGUGAAGACAAAACGCGCCGUGCUAAUACCACGGUGUUUUGAUUUAACUCACUAAAGAAGCACCGGCUAACUCUGU
This 160-nucleotide ribosomal RNA is filed under the name uncultured bacterium. RNAcentral's name for it is "partial 16S ribosomal RNA". It matches the Rfam family "Bacterial small subunit ribosomal RNA", at positions 354 to 506 of the family's 1533-position model. The record is from RNAcentral.